Molecule: ribosomal RNA, 497 nt
Filed under: uncultured bacterium
Lineage: Bacteria
Description: partial 16S ribosomal RNA
Rfam family: Bacterial small subunit ribosomal RNA
Source: RNAcentral
GAUGAACGCUGGCGGCGUGCCUAAUACAUGCAAGUCGAGCGAACAGACGAGGAGCUUGCUCCUCUGACGUUAGCGGCGGACGGGUGAGUAACACGUGGAUCACCUACCUAUAUUACUGGGAUAACUUCGGGACAGCGGAGCUAAUCCCGGAUAAUCUCUUGAACCGCAUGGUUCGAUGGUGAGAGACGGCUUUGGUGGAUCUUAUCGCGGGUUCCGCGCUGCUUUAGCUAGUUGGUAGGGUAACGGGUUUCCAAGGCAACGAUGCGUAGACGACGUGAGAGGGGGAUCGGCCACACGGGAACGGAGACACGGUCCAUACUCCUACGGGAGGCAGCAGUAGGGAAUCUUCCGCAAUGGGCGAAAGCCUGACGGAGCAACGCCGCGUGAGUGAUGAAGGUCUUCGGAUCGUAAAACUCUGUUAUUAGGGAAGAACAAAUUUGGAAUUAACUAUGCACGUCUUGACGGUACCUAAUCAGAAAGCCACGGCUAACUACGUG